UGUUUUUGAACUACCGAUAUUUUAGAUACCAUCGAUAUUUUAGACCUUGUGUAUAGUCCAUGUAGACAAAAUAAUAUUUAAAAAUUUAAAGAUUCAUGUAAAAUAUUAGAAUAAUAAUAAACCUAAAAAUCUAUAAAUAAUAAAUAAAUAAAAGCAGCAACCCCCAACGCUACCCCUUUCUCUCUCUCCCACCCCACAACUACUGUCUUCCCCAAUCAACCUGUACCAACCUCUCCCACCCUGCGUCAAUAUUCAAAGCUCCCUCAUUUACCCAUUUUUUAAUUCAUAACCUUCAUAUUUUGGUAAAUAUUCAAAGGUUCAAGGGUUGAAAUUUUGAAGAACUAAAAGAGACCUUUCAAUCUGAAAAAACAAAAACAAAAACAAAAAGACCGUUCAAGUUUUCGGCGUUGUUAAGGCGGACAUGUCUCCGGUGAACCUAGUCGCCACCUCGAUCCUAAUCUAUCUCUCUCUCUCUCUCUCUCUCUCUCUCUCUCUCUCUCUCUCUAGACUUGGUGGGGUUCGGUGUCAUCAUUGCCCUUUUGGCUUCGGUGGUUGGAUCUGCGAUUGCGAUUGGGGCUGGGUCUUCGACGGAUCUAGAGUUUUGGACUUGCUGGAUCUAUGUUGGAUCUAUGUGGUACAUGGUUAGGUUUGGACUGGAAGAACGG
This 665-nucleotide long non-coding RNA is filed under the name Prunus persica (peach). Its description in RNAcentral is "long non-coding RNA (PPER_LNC004832)". Lineage: Eukaryota; Viridiplantae; Streptophyta; Magnoliopsida; Rosales; Rosaceae. The record is from RNAcentral.